RNAcentral lists this ribosomal RNA (163 nucleotides) under uncultured bacterium. RNAcentral's name for it is "partial 16S ribosomal RNA". It matches the Rfam family "Bacterial small subunit ribosomal RNA", at positions 354 to 508 of the family's 1533-position model. The record is from RNAcentral.
UUUUCGAAUCAUUCUCCACUGGGCAAAAGGCUGAUGGUGCGACGCCGCGUGCAGGGAUGAAGGUCUUCGGAUUGUAAACCUCUGUCACCGGGGAAGAAACGCUUUGAGUUAAUAGUUCAAAGCCUGACUUAACCCGGAGAGGAAGCAGUGGCUAACUCUGUGC